AGUGAACGCUGGCGGUAGGCCUAACACAUGCAAGUCGAACGGCAGCACAGUAAGAGCUUGCUCUUACGGGUGGCGAGUGGCGGACGGGUGAGGAAUACAUCGGAAUCUACUUUUUCGUGGGGGAUAACGUAGGGAAACUUACGCUAAUACCGCAUACGACCUACGGGUGAAAGCAGGGGAUCUUCGGACCUUGCGCGAUUGAAUGAGCCGAUGUCGGAUUAGCUAGUUGGCGGGGUAAAGGCCCACCAAGGCGACGAUCCGUAGCUGGUCUGAGAGGAUGAUCAGCCACACUGGAACUGAGUCACGGUCCAGACUCCUACGGGAGGCAGCAGUGGGGAAUAUUGGACAAUGGGCGCAAGCCUGAUCCAGCCAUACCGCGUGGGUGAAGAAGGCCUUCGGGUUGUAGAGCCCUUUUGUUGGGAAAGAAAAGCAGCAGGUUAAUACCCCGCUGUUCUGACGGUACCCAAAAAAUAAGCACCGGCUAACUUCGUG
This 492-nucleotide ribosomal RNA is filed under the name uncultured bacterium. Its description in RNAcentral is "partial 16S ribosomal RNA". It matches the Rfam family "Bacterial small subunit ribosomal RNA", at positions 29 to 507 of the family's 1533-position model. The record is from RNAcentral.